CCUUAUUAAGCACCAAGGAGCAGGUAUCAGGCACAACUAUUUAGCCCAAAACACCUUGCUACGCCACACCCACACGGGCACCCAGCAGUGAUAAAUAUUAAGCAAUGAGUGAAAGCCGCCCCAAGCUCGACUUAGUUAUGAUCAUUAGGGCCGGUAAACCUCGUGCCAGCCACCGCGGUUAUACGAAGGGCCCAAAACAACAGAUAUCGGCGUAAAUUGUGGCUAGAGCACCCUUACAACACUGAAAGAUAAACGAAAGUCUAAUCGUAGAACCUAGGCCAAAAGAAACAUAAACUUUCAGCUAUAAAGCAACUUGAACCCACGAAGACUAAGAAACAAACUAGGAUUAGAUACCCUACUAUGCUUAGUUGUUAAUAUGACACCAAAAAACACUACUGUCCGCCAGAGAAUUACACGCGAAAAGCUUAAAACUCAAAGGACUUGGCGGUGCUCCGUAUUCGUCUUAGAGGAGCCUGUCCUAUAAUCGAUAACCCACGCUUUACCUUACCAUCUUUUGUCAAACAGCCUAUAUACCGCCGUCGCAAACUUACCCCAUGAGGGCACAACAGUAAGUAAAAUAGUAGCACACUAACACGUCAGGUCAAGGUGUAGCUAAUAAGAUGGAAGAGAUGGGCUACAUUUUCUAAAACAGAACACAC
This 659-nucleotide ribosomal RNA is filed under the name Liolaemus signifer (Zodiac tree iguana). Its description in RNAcentral is "partial 12S ribosomal RNA". It matches the Rfam family "Bacterial small subunit ribosomal RNA", at positions 312 to 1249 of the family's 1533-position model. Lineage: Eukaryota; Metazoa; Chordata; Lepidosauria; Squamata. The record is from RNAcentral.